UACGGAGGGUGCAAGCGUUAUCCGGAUUCACUGGGUUUAAAGGGUGCGUAGGUGGUUUUGUAAGUCAGUGGUGAAAGCCUACAGCUUAACUGUAGAAUUGCCAUUGAUACUGCUUAACUUGAAUCAAGUCGAAGUGGAUGGAAUAGAUCAUGUAGCGGUGAAAUGCUUAGAUAUGAUUUAGAACACCAAUUGCGAAGGCAGUUCACUAGGCUUGUAUUGACACUGAGGCACGAAAGCGUGGGGAUCAAACAGG
This 253-nucleotide ribosomal RNA is filed under the name uncultured bacterium. RNAcentral describes it as "partial 16S ribosomal RNA". It matches the Rfam family "Bacterial small subunit ribosomal RNA", at positions 524 to 776 of the family's 1533-position model. The record is from RNAcentral.